GAAACAUCUUAGUACCCGGAGGAAGAGAAAGAAAAUUCGAUUCCCUUAGUAGCGGCGAGCGAAACGGGAAGAGCCCAAACCAACAAGCUUGCUUGUUGGGGUUGUAGGACACUCUAUACGGAGUUACAAAGGACGACAUUAGACGAAUCAUCUGGAAAGAUGAAUCAAAGAAGGUAAUAAUCCUGUAGUCGAAAAUGUUGUCUCUCUUGAGUGGAUCCUGAGUACGACGGAGCACGUGAAAUUCCGUCGGAAUCUGGGAGGACCAUCUCCUAAGGCUAAAUACUCUCUAGUGACCGAUAGUGAACCAGUACCGUGAGGGAAAGGUGAAAAGCACCCCGGAAGGGGAGUGAAAUAGAACCUGAAACCGUGUGCUUACAAGUAGUCAGAGCCCGUUAAUGGGUGAUGGCGUGCCUUUUGUAGAAUGAACCGGCGAGUUACGAUUUGAUGCAAGGUUAAGCAGUAAAUGUGGAGCCGUAGCGAAAGCGAGUCUGAAUAGGGCGUUUAGUAUUUGGUCGUAGACCCGAAACCAGGUGAUCUACCCUUGGUCAGGUUGAAGUUCAGGUAACACUGAAUGGAGGACCGAACCGACUUACGUUGAAAAGUGAGCGGAUGAACUGAGGGUAGCGGAGAAAUUCCAAUCGAACCUGGAGAUAGCUGGUUCUCUCCGAAAUAGCUUUAGGGCUAGCCUCAAGUGAUGAUUAUUGGAGGUAGAGCACUGUUUGGACGAGGGGCCCCUCUCGGGUUACCGAAUUCAGACAAACUCCGAAUGCCAAUUAAUUUAACUUGGGAGUCAGAACAUGGGUGAUAAGGUCCGUGUUCGAAAGGGAAACAGCCCAGACCACCAGCUAAGGUCCCAAAAUAUAUGUUAAGUGGAAAAGGAUGUGGCGUUGCCCAGACAACUAGGAUGUUGGCUUAGAAGCAGCCAUCAUUUAAAGAGUGCGUAAUAGCUCACUAGUCGAGUGACACUGCGCCGAAAAUGUACCGGGGCUAAACAUAUUACCGAAGCUGUGGAUUGUCCUUUGGACAAUGGUAGGAGAGCGUUCUAAGGGCGUUGAAGCAUGAUCGUAAGGACAUGUGGAGCGCUUAGAAGUGAGAAUGCCGGUGUGAGUAGCGAAAGACGGGUGAGAAUCCCGUCCACCGAUUGACUAAGGUUUCCAGAGGAAGGCUCGUCCGCUCUGGGUUAGUCGGGUCCUAAGCUGAGGCCGACAGGCGUAGGCGAUGGAUAACAGGUUGAUAUUCCUGUACCACCUAUAAUCGUUUUAAUCGAUGGGGGGACGCAGUAGGAUAGGCGAAGCGUGCGAUUGGAUUGCACGUCUAAGCAGUAAGGCUGAGUAUUAGGCAAAUCCGGUACUCGUUAAGGCUGAGCUGUGAUGGGGAGAAGACAUUGAGUCUUCGAGUCGUUGAUUUCACACUGCCGAGAAAAGCCUCUAGAUAGAAAAUAGGUGCCCGUACCGCAAACCGACACAGGUAGUCAAGAUGAGAAUUCUAAGGUGAGCGAGCGAACUCUCGUUAAGGAACUCGGCAAAAUGACCCCGUAACUUCGGGAGAAGGGGUGCUCUUUAGGGUUAACGCCCAGAAGAGCCGCAGUGAAUAGGCCCAAGCGACUGUUUAUCAAAAACACAGGUCUCUGCUAAACCGUAAGGUGAUGUAUAGGGGCUGACGCCUGCCCGGUGCUGGAAGGUUAAGAGGAGUGGUUAGCUUCUGCGAAGCUACGAAUCGAAGCCCCAGUAAACGGCGGCCGUAACUAUAACGGUCCUAAGGUAGCGAAAUUCCUUGUCGGGUAAGUUCCGACCCGCACGAAAGGCGUAACGAUUUGGGCACUGUCUCAACGAGAGACUCGGUGAAAUCAUAGUACCUGUGAAGAUGCAGGUUACCCGCGACAGGACGGAAAGACCCCGUGGAGCUUUACUGUAGCCUGAUAUUGAAAUUCGGCACAGCUUGUACAGGAUAGGUAGGAGCCUUUGAAACGUGAGCGCUAGCUUACGUGGAGGCGCUGGUGGGAUACUACCCUA
RNAcentral lists this ribosomal RNA (2012 nucleotides) under Staphylococcus aureus. RNAcentral's name for it is "partial 23S ribosomal RNA". It matches the Rfam family "Bacterial large subunit ribosomal RNA", at positions 195 to 2207 of the family's 2925-position model. The record is from RNAcentral. Lineage: Bacteria; Bacillati; Bacillota; Bacilli; Caryophanales; Staphylococcaceae.